This is a long non-coding RNA of Pan troglodytes (chimpanzee), 18062 nucleotides long. RefSeq lists it as uncharacterized. NCBI's taxonomy places the organism in Eukaryota, Metazoa, Chordata, Mammalia, Primates, Hominidae. The transcript has 6 exons. The record is from RefSeq and is a predicted model, not a curated record.
GUCACCAAGAGGCCUGACCCUGACGGGUGGGGGAGAUGCGCGUGUGGAGUAGCGGGAAGCGACUGAGGAGCGGGGACUGGGCAGCAUUUGAAUGGAUGCGGGUGCCGCUGGCACCCGGGAAGACGCUGGGGGCCGGCGCUGUAGAGCCGGGCAUGGGCUGGGAUGUGUUUGGAUUCCAAUCCGGGCCUGACACCAGUUCAGUGACCUCGGGAAGUUCCCCAACCCUCCGGGCCUGUUUCCUCCCUUUGAAGUGGCGACAGUAGUAGAACCGACCUCGUAGGCUCAUCGGGAGGUCCUGAUGGGAGAACCCAUGCAACUUGCCACCAUAGAGCCAGGCCCGCGGCGAUUGGCUCCUGGUGGGUAUUAAAGACGAGUCGGGAAAGAAGAGCAGGUUGAUAGACUGGAUGCUGCUAUGGUAAUCUGCCUCAGGAAAAUGCCGGACUGUUGUUUGCAAGCUGGUUAAGUGAGCAAAUCUUGGGAAGAUUUCAAGAGACGGGGUUUCACCAUGUUGCCCAGGCUGGUCUUGAACUCCUAGCCUCAAGUGAUCUGCCCACCUCGGCCUUCCAAAGUGCUGGGAUUACAGGUACGAGCCACCGCGCCGGGUCAGAUGUUGGUUUCUUAAGCAAAAACAGAAUCAGGAUAUCCCAGGAAGUCAACAGACAUCUAUCUGGUGGCCUCCUAGGUGAAAAUGCUCUCCUUCAACUUAGCAGGUGUGAGCAUUAUAAUUGUAACCUGUCCUUCUUCUUUUUUUUUUUUUUUUUUUUUUGAGAUGGAGUCUCGCUCUGUCACCCAGGCUGGAGUGGAGUGGCGCGAUCUCGACUCACUGCAAGCUCUGUCUCCCGGGUUCAUGCCAUUCUCCUGCCUCAGCCUCUUGAGUAACUGGGACUACAGGCACCCGCCACCAAGCCCGGCUUAUUUUUUGUAUUUUUAGUAGAGACAGGGUUUCACCGUGUUAGCCAGGAUGGUCUCAAUCUCCUGACCUCAUAAUCCACCCGCCUCGGCCUCCCAAAGUGCUGGGAUUACAGGCGUGAGCCACCGCGCCCGGCCAUGACCUGUCCUUCUAUCUGGACUUUAUAUUAUAAUGGUUUAUGUCUGCACCUAUGUCUCCAUUAGAAUGUAACCUCCUGGAGAAGAGAAUUCAUUUUCUUGUUUAUCUUUAUUUCCAUCUACAUCAUUAAGUGUUUCAUGUACAUGCCAAUGUUCAAAAACUUUUUUUAAUCAGUCAAACUUUGCUAAAGUGGUAGCUUGUCACUACUGCCGGGGUUUGUUGAAGUGUGCCACUCUGCAUGCCAGCUAAUAAUAAUAACAACAAUAGCAGUUAACCUGUGAAAACCGUGAACAGCAACUCCCCUGAGAGCCAAUGACAACUAGAGAUAUGGCAAGGAGUCAUGUUGGAAGAAUACUCAUCCAGACCCUUGCUGAAAUAGACCCAGAAAACGGCUCUGUGGAGUUACAUCCAGAAUGGAGCCUAUGGAGAACACCCAUAUUCAACAACAGUGGCUGACUUUCAGCACGCAGCAGACAGCCUCUGAGAGACUUUGUUCUGUGUCUCACCCUUCUCUUAUGCAGUGAGGAAAGGGAGACUCUCUAGGCCAGGCAGUAACCCUGAGAGCUUCCCUGACAGAGGAUUGCUGAGAGACUGAGCAGAUGCAAGAGGAAUGCCUCUGUUCUUCCCUCACUGCCUAUUUUGGCCAUCUCCCUGCUUUUAGACUUUGCAGUGGAGGGGCCAGAGGCUUGAGCCAAGCCAAAGAUACAGGAGAAGGAUCUGGAAUCCACCUCAGUGGGUAGGGCCAAUUAAGACAAGAGGGGUGUACACAGAGGGAAAUGUUCAGAAAACAAACCUCUUGCAAGAAUCUGGAGGUAUAACAGGGCCAAGUCUUCAUACUGAGUUGGUGGGGGUUUCACUUUAAUAUGUGAAUGUUGGAAAGAGGUGGGAUAUGGAAAGAAAUCACAAUACCUUGAUCACCAGCUUCUACCAGAGGGAUCUUGUCUCUUAUUGCUGCUUUUUUAUCUUCAGGAAACUCCCAAGCAUUCUGGAAGCUCUGCAUGUGAGUAAGAACCACUGCUGUUGCUGUUGCUGUAGCUGCCUGAAUCUAUGGCAAAAAGCCAGGAAAAAAAAAUUGCUUCACACCAUGUGCACCGACUCCCCUGGAGCUGGCACCGCCAGGGCGUCUGCAGAGCUAUGUCUGACAGUCCUGCCAUUUCCUAACUUCUCCUGUGUGGUCAUCCACCUACCUUUGGGAACCUCCAGUCAUUACUCACAGAGUUGGUCUCAUCCUGGGAACUCUCUCUUGCCUCUCCCAGUGGUUCAUUCUCCAAGUCUGAGUUAUUUGGUCAAAAAAACCCCCAAAUGCUUCAGACAACUCUCGCAAACUUGUCAUAGCUUUUGGUAUUCCAGGCCACAGAAGAGCCCAGGUGGGUACAUGGGCCCUCCAAGUGUUUGUUUCCUCACCACUGUGAGUGACAAAUAGGCUUCUUUAUCCUUAAAAUUGUCCAGCCAGUAACUGUUGGAACACACUGACCUAGAUCCACACAUGCAAACACACCUUUCAAGGGCAAAUGUUAAUUCACAAAGACAAUUGUAAAAUCUAAGCUAAAGUUCACAAAUGGGAGCUGCCUUUGAAGUGAAUUCAGCCCACAGACAUCUUUGAUUAGCACAGUGUGUUGUUGUUGUUGCUGUUUUAAAAUUUUUUUUUUUUUUUUUUGAGACAGCAUUUUGCUCUUGUUGCCAAGACUGGCGAUCUUGGCUCACCACAACCUCUGCCUCCUGGGUUCAAGCAAUUCUCCUGCCUCAGCCUCCCGAGUAGCUGGGAUUACAGGCAUGUGGCACCAUGCCUGGCUAAUUUUGUAUUUUUAGUGCAGACGGGGUUUCUCCAUGUUGGUCAGGCUGUUCUCGAACUCCUGACCUCAGGUGAUCCACCCACCUCGGCCUCCCAAAAUGCUGGGAUUACAGGCAUGAGCCACCAAGCCCGGCUCUUAAAAUUAUUUUUAAUGUCUUUAGAAGAGGCAUGCAAUUUCGGAUGGGUGCAGCACUCACGACUGUAAUCCCAGCACUUUGGGAGGCCGAGGUGGGUGGAUCACCUGAGGUCAGGAGUUGGAGACCAGCCUGGCCAACAUGGUGAAAACCCAUCUCUACUAAAAAUACAAAAAUUAGCUGGCCAUGGUGGCGGGCACCUGUAAUCCCAGCUACUUGGGAAGCUGAGGCAGGAGAAUUGCUUGAACCCAGGAGGCGGAGGUUGCAGUGAGCCUAGAUCACGCCAUUACACUGAAGCCUGGGCGACAAGAGCAAGAUUCCAUCUUAAAAAAAAAAAAAAAGAGGCAUGCAAUUUCCAUUCCCCACCCCCCACAGUCUCUACUCCUCCCUAUUAUAUCUAAUUGCUUCACCCAUGUAUAGUAUAGCCUGUCCUCUGAAAUAAUUGGAGUUUAAGAUCCCUGAAUCUAAACCUGUAAGCAGGAAAAUAGAUAUUUUCCUAAUGCCCUAUAAUACAUAAACAUGUUUCCUUUUUCUCCUUCUGCUUUUAUUUUUAUUUUUAUUUUUUUGAAAUGGAGUCUCACUCUGUUGCCCAGGCUGGAGUGCAGUGGUGCAAUUUCGGCUCACUGCAACCCCACCUCCCGACUUCAAGCAAUUCUUCUGCCUCAGCUUCCUGAGUAGCUGGGACUACAGGCACCUGCCACCUAGUAGAGGUAGGGUUUCACCAUGUUUGCCAGGCUGGUCUCAAACUCCCAACCUCAGGUGAUCCACCCAUCUCGGCCUCUGAAAGUGUUGGGAUUACAGGUGUGAGCCUGGCAAGAAGGAACAUUUAUGGGUGCUUGGGUGUAGUAGUUAAGAGUGGUUCCACAGAGGCCGGGCGCAGUGGCUCACACCUGUAAUCCCAGCACUCUGGGAGGCCAAGGUAGGCGGAUCGCCUGAGGUUGGGAGUUCGAGACCAGCCUGGACAACAUGGUGAAACAUGGUGAAACCCCGUCUCCACUACAAAUACAAAAACUUAGCUGGGCGUGGUGGCAGGCGCCUGUAAUCCCAACUACUCGGGAGGCUGAGGCAGGAGAAUCACUUGAACCCAGGAGGUGGAGGUUGCAGUGAGCCGAGAUUGUGCUAUAUAGCACUUCAGCCGGGAUGAAAGGAGUGAAACUCCGUCUCAAAAUAAAUAAAUAAACAAAUAUGGAAAGGGGGAUGGCUAGAAUGAACUCUGCAGUGCUGGAUCAGAAUUGGAAAUAUCAAUGGGAGCACAUAGUUUUAUAAAUUUGUGUGUGUGUGUGUAUGUGUGCGCAUAUGUGUGCAUUUGUGUAUUAGUGUGAUAGUCUGUCCUCUGAAAGGGCCUACAAGCCAUGAUACUCCAGUACAAAUUAGUACACCUAGAACCCAGAUUGUUCUAAAUACAAUUCUCCCCAAAGGAACCAGGGCUUUUUUUUUUUUUUUUUUGAGACAAGAGUUUUGCUCUUGUAACCCAGGCUGGAGUGCAAUGCCACAAUCUUGGCUCCUUGCAACCUCCGCUUCCAGAGUUCAAGCAAUUCUCCUGCCUCAGCCUCCCAAGUAGCUGGGAUUACAGGCGCCUGCACCCACGCCAGGCUAAUUUUUGUAUUUUUAGUAGAGACUGGUUUCACCAUGUUGGCCAGGCUGGUCUCAAACUCCUGAUCUCAGGUGAUCCACCCGCCUCAGCCUCCCAAAGUGCUGGGAUUACAGGCAUCAGCCACCGUGCCUGGCCUUUUUUUUUUUUUUUAAGACGGAGUCUCGCUCUGUUGCCAAGCUGGAGUGCAGCAGUGCGAUCUUGGCCACUGCAACCUCCGCCUCCCUGGUUCAACUGAUUCUCCUGCCUCAGGCUCCCGAGUAGCUGGGAUUCUGGGAUUACAGGUGCCUGCCACCAUGCCCAGCUAAUUUUUUUGUAUUUUUAGUAGAGACGGUGUUUCACCAUGUUGGCCAGGCUGGUCUCGAACUCCUGACCUCAGGUGAUCCACCCUCCUCGGCCUUCGAAAGUGCUGGGAUUACAGGCAUGAGCCAUGGCACCCGGCCAGAGGAAGAGGAUAUUUACAUAGUCUCAGAGUAUCUCCUCACAAGAUAUUUGUUAACUAUUAAGGGAAAAGUAAAGGCCGGGUGCAGUGGCUCAUGCCUGUAAUCCCAGCACUUUGGGAGGCUGAGGUAGGCAGAUCACGAGGUCAGGAGUUCAAGACCAGCCUGGCCAACAUGGUGAAACCCCCAUCUGUACUAAAAAUACAAAAAAAUUUAGCUGGUGUGAUGGUGGGCGCCUGUAAUCCCAGCUACUUGGGAGGCUGAGGCGGGAGAAUUGCUUGAACCCGGGAGGCAGAGGUUGCAGUGAGCUAAGACCAUGCCACUGCACUCCUGCCUGGGUGACAGAGCAAGACUCUGUCUCAGAAAAAAAAAAAAAAAGGAAAAAUAGUCCCUUUAAAGUGAAGAAACCUGGUAGACAUCCCCUUAACCAAGUAAUCAAAGUUAACUUCAACAGUAAUGGAACAAGUCAACUAAUAUUAUGUAGGGGUCACAACAUCACUUCUGUGCUAUUCCUGCUAAGAAUGCAUAACCUGAAUGUAAUCAUGAAGAAACAUCAGACAACCCAAGUUAGGGGACACUCUAUAAAACAACUGGCCUGUAACUCCUCAAAUAUGUCAAGGUUGUGAAAGACGAAGUGUGGAAAAUUCUAUUCCAGAUUGAAGGAGACUAAAGACACUUGACAACUGAACACAAUGUAUGAUAUAGAAUUUAUUUUAUCAUAAUGGACAUUAUUGGAACAUUUGAGCAAAUUCAAAUGAGGUCUGUAGGUUAGAAAAUAUUAUUGAAUCAAUAUUGAUUUCUUAAUUUUUAUAAUUGUGGUUAUGAAAGAGAAUAUCCUUGUUUUUAGAAAAUAUACACUGGCGGGGCGUGGUGGCUCACUCCUGUAAUCCCAGCACUUUGGGAGGCCGAGGCGGAGUUUGAGACCAGCCUGGCCAACAUAGUGAAACCCUGUCUCUACUAAAAAUACAAAAUUAGCUGGGCAUGGUGGCAUGUGCAUGUAGUCCCAGCUACCUGGAGGCUGAGGCAGGAGAAUAGCUGGAAUCCAGGAGGCAGAGGUUGCAGUGAGUUGAGAUCACGCCACUGCACUCCAGCCUGGGCGACAGAGCAAAACUCUGUCUCAAAAAAAAAAAAAAAACAAAGAAAAGAAAAUAUACACUGAAGUGCUUAAUGGAAAGGGGCAUCAUGUCUGUAAGUUAUUAUCAAACAGAAACAAGUUCAGAAAAAAAUUACGCACAUACACAUGCACAGAAAUACAGUGAGAGAGAGAGAGCAAGUAUGCAGUAGGUAUUAGCCUAGGUUGCUAGGAGAAUUAAAGUUAACAAGCAAUUAAUUCAUGACUAACACCAGAAACUUGGAGAAUAUGCCCAAUGCCCUUUUAUCAAGUGCCCAGUGCCAAUUUAUCAUUUAAGAUAGCACUCCACAUGGCAGAAAGACUUAAAUGCCAGUAAGUCACUCUGUAUGUUUGGGACAUCUGUAGAACACUUUUUUUUUUUUUUUUGAAAACUCCUCUAGCAAAAAAAUGUUUAAACUUUCAUCUUCACGUUGGGUGAUUGCAGUCAUAAAUUUCACACAAUGAUCCUGCUUGUAUCAUAGAAUAACCCAUUUUCUGAUGAACAGGUUGAAUCCAAAUAAAUUCCAAACACGUGUAUAAUGUAGAGUUAAAACAUUUUAGACUCAAAGCUCAAAGCUAAUUAAGAACCGGCAUGGGCCACAGUUUGAACCACCACCAACUUGUCUUUGCUCUGUUAUUGGUUUGCUGUCUUUGUCUGUUAUUCCAUAUCACUUGCUGGAAGGAAGCAGCCAUACUGAAAUACAAAUUUUGUUUGUUUCUUUUUUAAAAAAGGAAACAAAUAGAUGGUUUAUUCUAAGAAUGUACAGGAACUUAUAUUCUAAACGUCCAUAAAUGCAUAUUCUAGGGACUCUUAUCAUCUCAGAACCCUACUACAGAUUCUCUUUAAUCUUUUUAAACAUCCUGUUACAUAAAUUGCAGCUGUAUCUAUAGCAGGAAGAACAAUAAGAUAAUAAUUGGUCAAACAUCAAAAGCACUUGGGUGGGUCUUCCACAAACCUUUAGUCUUCUCUCCCACCAACACCAUGUUCUUAGAUUUUUUUUCCAACCACAUUAAUGUAUUUUUUGUUUGUUUGUUUCUUCUUUUUCCUUUCCCCUGAGUAAUUACUAUGAAUUUUUGCCAGGUCAAGAAUUCUUCCCAGAAACAAACCCCAAGUAUUAAAAAAAAUCAAACAAACAGUACCUGAAGAUAAGAUGUACUCUUUCCAGGCCCACCCCCUCCCUUUGAUUUCUUUCUCCAGAUUGAGUGGGUUUAAUUGGAAUUGCACGUCCUCAGCGUUUCAUGAAGGACAGAUUUUCUAUCUGACCUAUGACCUGCUAGGAAUUCCCUAUUAACUUUCAUGGGAUGAAUUUGGAAUUGUCCUUACCACUCAGUAUUUACUAAGUAAGAAAUCACACAAACUCUUAUGCAGGCUGUGAAUCUAAUGUAUGUAUACAUAUAGCAAGCAUUUCUUGAUGAUUAAUGUUAGAGUUAUGGUCGGGUACAGUGGCUUAUGCCUGUAAUCCCAGCACUUUGGAAGGCCCAGGUGGGUGAAUCACUUGAGGUCAGGAGUUCAAGACCAGCCUGGCCAAUAUGGUGAAACCCUGUCUCUACUAAAAAUACAAAAAUUAGCCAGGUGUGGUGGUGCAUGCCUGUAGUCACAGCUACUCAGGAGGCUGAAGCAGGAGAAUGGCUUGAACCCAGGAGGUGGAGGUUGCGGUGAGCCAAGAUUAUACCACGGCACUACAGCCUGGGUGAUAGGGCAAGAUUCUGUCUAAAAAAAAAAAAAAAAAAAGUUAGAGUUAGGAAGAGUUUUAGAGGUCAUUCAACUUGACGUCUUUUCCAUAACUUUUUUUGUCAAAUGGUUGCAAGCCAAAAACUCAGUUGUUAUAACAAGGAGCUCCAUAUGGUGUUGGGCAGCUCAAUCUAUUGCUGGACAGCUCUCAUCAUAACCCUUGCUUCUUCCUGUGGUUCUCUGGAGCCUCACAAAAUAUGUCUACCUCUCUUCCAUAUGACAACCCUUCACACACUGGUAGCUGCUAAUUUGUGCCAAUUAAGCUGUCACCAGGUCUCAUAAUGAUUUUUCAGAUCACAUUGGGUAACGCAUGAACAUCCAAAAGUUAAUGUUUAACUCUGGAAGGUAAGAUUAUGGUUAUGUUUUUACUUUCUUGUUUAUAUGUAAAUUCUAAGUUUCACAAUAAAUAUUUACUUUAAUAGUGAAAACAUUUGGCCGGGCAUGGUGGCUCACGCCUGUAAUCCCAGCACUUUGGGAAGCCAAGGCGGGAGGAUCACCAGGCCAGGGGUUUGAGACCAGCCUGGCCAACAAGGCAAAACCCUGUUUCUACUAAAAAUAUGAAAAUUAGCCAAGCGUGGUGGUGGGUGCCUGUAGUCCCAGCUACUCGGGAGGCUGAGGCAGGAGAAUCUCUUAAACCCUGGAGGCAGAGGUUGCAGUGAGCCGAGAUCAUGCCACUACACUCCAGCCUGGGCAACAGAGCGAGACUCCAUCUCAAAAUAAUAAUAAGAAGAAGAACAACAACAUUUUUAUUGAGCUUAUUCUAGAUGCCACUUCCUUUUAAAAAAGGAAACAAAUAGAUGGUUUGUUUUAAUUACUCUACAAUAACCCUGAGGGAUAGGCACUGUAAUUAUCCCCAUUGUACAGAUGAGGAAACUGGGGCAUAGAGGGAUUAAGUAAUUUUCCCAAGGCCGCAUAGCUAAGUAAGUGGCUGAUAUGAUAUUGGAACCCAGGUUUGCCUGAUUUUUAAGUAUUCCUCUUUUUUUUUUCUUUGAGACAAGGUCUCACUUCAUCACCCAGGCUGGAGUGCAGUGGUGUGAUCACUGCUCACUGCAGCCUAGAUUUCCUGGGCUCAAGUAGUCCUCCCACUUCAGCUUCCCAAGCAGAUGGGACCACAGGCACGAGCCACCAUACCCAGCUAAUUCUUUUUUUCUCUGUUAGAGAUAGGGUCUCCCUAUGUUGCCCAAGCUGCUAUCAAACUCCUGGGCUCAAAGGAUCCUCCCACUUCAGCCUCCCAAAUUGUUGGAGCCACCGUGCCUGGCCAGCCUCCCAAAGUGUUGGAGCCAGCUUCCUAAGGUGUGAGCCACCGUGCCUGGCUGACCAUUCCUCUUAUAAGAAAAACAAUUUAUUUAUUUUGGCAGCAACAAGUAGGGCGUUAUUUGUUUUGUUUUGUUUUUAGUGUGGUGUCCAGAAAUUAAUAUGCUAGAUUUGAUGUGAACAGCAUAAAGCACACUGGGAUUAUUAUGUCCUUUGAUUUGGUGACAGUAUAAUAUAUCAAUGCCCCUAAGACUGCAUUUGAUUUUUUACCUGUAAUACAAGAUUACCGGCUCAUACAGAGAUUACAAAAAAUCCUCUGGUUCUUAUUUUACUUUUUCUUUCUUCCUUGACUCUACCAUCCCCCAUCCUCAUCUACUACCCCAUCACCUGUCCCCUCCACCCCCAUAAUCAAUUUAUCAACCUAGUUGUUAAUAUUUUUCUCUAUGCUCAUAUAAUCACAUAUAGACAAAUACAAAUGCACACAUAUUCAAUGCAGUUUUUUUUGUCAUUUAAAAAGUGACUACUUUUUUGCCUUUUACUCAAAACAUUUUUGUGUGUAAAAUCCCUCUAAGUCAACUGGUAGAGUACAAAUUCAUUCCUCUUCAUGGAUGUGCCAAAAUGUGAAUGUACUAUAAUUUUUACAACCAUCACUCUAUUGAUGGACAUCCAUAGUAUUCACAAUUUGUGUGUGUGUGUUGCCACUUAAAAUGCUGCAACAAAUGUCCUUGUACAUACAUCCUAUAGUGUUUUUACUCCAAUAGUUUUAUUGAAACUAAUGGUUUUUUUCAGAGGAUAGAUUCCUAGGACUGUAAUUGCUGGGUCAAAGGGUAUAUAUAUAUUUUUAUUUAUUUUUUAUUUUAUUUUAUUUUUUGAGACCAAGUCUCGCUGUAUCGCCCAGGCUGGAGUGCAGUUGCACAAUCUUGGCUCACUGCAACCUCUGCCUCCCGGGCUCAAGUGAUUCUCCUGCCUCAGCCUCCUGAGUAGCUGGGAUUACAGGCACGCGCUAUCACGCCCGGCUAAUUUUUGUAUUUCUAGUAGAGACAGGGUUUCACCAUGUUGGCCAGGCUGGUCUCAAACUCCUGACCUCAGAUGAUCCACCCUCCUUGGCCUCCCAAAGUGCUGAGAUUACAGGCGUGAGCUGCCGCACCUGGCCAAAGGGUAUAUUUAAAAUAAUAGCUGUUGCCAGACUGCUUUCCAAAAAGGCUAUAACACUUCAUAUUUCAGUAGCAGCACAUGAAAAUACCCCUUGCCCCCAUCCCUGCAGCAAUAGGUGUUAUAGUGUAUUCAGUAGCCAUUCCAACAAAAACUGUGAAAGAAAAUCAAAAGAAACUACUUCAACAUAAUAAAAACUAUUUACCCCAAAUGAAAAGCAACUAUGAUACUAACUGGCAAAAUGUUAAAAUUCUUUUAUUCAAAAUCAGGAACUACACAGGAGUUUUUAGUUAAGGCUGGGUGCGGUGGUUCACACCUAUAAUCCCAGCACUUUGGGAGGCCAAGGUGGGUGGAUCACAAGGUCAGGAGAUUGAGACCAUCCUGGCUAACACGGUGAAACCCUGUCUCUACUAAAAAUACAAAAAAUUAGCCAGGCAUGGUGGUGGGUGCCUGUAGUACCAGCUAUUUGGGAGGCUGAGGCAGGAGAAUGGCGUGAACCUGGGAGGCGGAGCUUGCAGUGAGCUGAGAUUGCGCCAUUGCACUCCAACCUGGGUGACACAGCAAGACUCCAUCUCAAAAAAAAAAAAAAAGAGAGAAGGACUGUGUGGUAGAUAGAGCUCCCUCUCCCCUCUCCCCUCUCCCCUCUCCCCUCCCCCCUCCCCCUCUCCCCUCUCCCCUCUUUCCACGGUCUCCCUCUGAUGCCGAGCCGAAGCUGGACGGUACUGCUGCCAUCUCAGCUCACUGCAACCUCCCUGCCCGAUUCUCCUGCCUCAGCCUGCCGAGUGCCUGCGAUUGCAGGCGCGCGCCGCCACGCCUGACUGGUUUUCGUAUUUUUUUGGUGGAGACGGGGUUUCGAUGUGUCGGCUGGGCUGGUCUCCAGCUCCUAACCGCGAGUGAUCCGCCAGCCUCGGCCUCCCGAGGUGCCGGGAUUGCAGACGGAGUCUCGUUAACUCAGUGCUCAAUGGCGCCCAGGCUGGAGUGCAGUGGCGUGAUCUCGGCUCGCUACAACCACCUCCCAGCCGCCUGCCUUGGCCUCCCUAAGUGCCGAGAUUGCAGCCUCUGCCUGGCAGCCACCCCGUCUGGGAAGUGAGGAGCGUCUCCGCCUGACCGCCCAUCGUCUGGGAUGUGAGGAGCCCCUCUGCCUGGCUGCCCAGUCUGGAAAGUGAGGAGCGUCUCUGCCCGGCCGCCAUCCCAUCUAGGAAGUGAGGAGCGCCUCUUCCCGGCCGCCAUCACAUCUGGGAAGUGAGGAGCGUCUCCGCCUGACCGCCCAUCGUCUGGGAUGUGAGGAGCCCCUCUGCCUGGCUGCCCAGUCUGGAAAGUGAGGAGCGUCUCUGCCCGGCCGCCAUCACAUCUGGGAAGUGAGGAGCGUCUCUGCCCGGCCGCCCAUCGUCUGAGAUGUGGGGAGCACCUCUGCCCUGCCGCCCCGUCCGGGAUGUGAGGAGUGUCUCUGCCCGGCUGCCCUGUCUGAGAAGUGAGGAGACCCUCUGCCUGGCAACCGCCCCGUCUGAGAAGUGAGGAGCCCCUCCGCCUGGCAGCCACCCCGUCUGAGAAGCUGGAGUGUGGUGGCGUGAUCAUAGUUUGCUGUAACCUCCAACCCCUGGGCUCAAGUGAUCCUUCCACCUCAGCCUCCUGAGUAGCUAGGACUACGUAAGUGUACCACCCCACCUGGUCAUUUUUUAAACUUUUUGGAGAGAUAAGGUCUCUUAUGUUGUCCAGGCUAGUCUUGAACUCUUGGCCUCAAGGCGUCCUCCUGCCUUGGCCUCCCAGAGUGAUAAGAUUAGAGGUGUGAGCUGCAGCCACAGCGGAGACAGGGUCUCCCUCUGUUACUGAGGCUGGAGAUCAUGGCUCACUGCAACCUCAGCCUCCCAAGGCUCAAGUGAUCCUCCUGCCUCAGCCCCCGGAGUAGCAGGGACAACAGGUGCACACCACCAUACUGGGCUAAUUUUUGUAUUUUUAGUAGAAACGGGGUUUUGCCAUGUUGGCCAGGCUGGUCUCAGACUCUUGAGUUCAGGUAAUCCACUCACCUCAGCCUCCCAGGUGCAGGGAUUACUGGUUUGAGCCACCAUGCCUGGCCAGCUUUUGAAUUUUAAAACCUGCAGAUGGGUCAAACAAAACUUGAGCUAUAGCCAGGUGUCAUGUCUCAUGUGUAUCCCGGUGCUUUGGGAGGCUGAGGUGGGAGAAUCUCUUGAGGCCAGGAGCUUGAGGCUGCAGUGAGCUAUGAUCAUGCUACCGCACUCCAGUCCAGGUGACAGAGACCCUUGUCUCAAAAAAAAAAAAAAAAAAAAAGGCUAUGGCCGAUAGAUUUGGUAGAAUUGAUGACAAGUAAACAGGCUACCACAUCCUUAGACUACAUAAGGAUUCCCUGGUCUGGGAAUAGUAACAGUUUUUUUCAUUGUUACUUUUCCUAUGGUGCUGAUGGGAAUAAUAAAAGUUAAAUUGUUAAAUUGUUAAACUGAGUUAUAGAAAAAUAAAAUUAUAUUUCCUGUUAAAAAAAAAAAAAAAAAAAAAAAGGAGUUUUUAGUUAAAUAAAUCUCCCAAGUCUAUUUCACUCUUAACUUUAAAAUUAACAUAGAAUAGGCCAGGCACCGUGGCUUACGCCUGUAAUCCCAGCACUUUGGGAGGCCCAGGCAGGCAGAUCACCUGAGGUCAGGAGUUCGAGACCAGCCUGGCCAACAUGGUGAAAUCUUGUCUCUACUAAAAAUACAAAAUUAGCCGAGCGUGGUGGCACAUGCCUGUAAUCACAGCUACUUGGGAGGCUGAGGCAAAAGAAUCACUUGAACCUGGGAGGUGGAGGUUUCAGUGAGCUGAGAUCACACCAUGGCACUCCAGUCUGGGCAAUAAGAGCAAAACUCCAUCUAAAAAAAAAAAAUGAAUUAAUUAACAUAACACACAUAUAAAAUGUGCACAAAUCCUAAGUGCACACAUCAAUGAUCAAUGAAUUUUUGCAAAGUAAACAUAUUUAUAUAACUACCACAUAGGUCAAGAAAGUUAUUACCAGCACUUCAGAAGCCUAACUCAUGCCCCCUUCCUCCUUCCUAUAGAGAACCAGUCCUGACUUUUAACACCACUGAAUAGUUUUGCCUGGAUUGGAAACAUACAUACAUGUGGCAUCAUGCAAUCUAUACUCCUUUGUGUGUGUUUGGUUUAUUUCUUUCAACAUUUUCUUUGUGAAGUUUCUUCAUGUUUCUGAUAGCAGUAGUUUACUCACUUUCAUUGCUGUACAAUAGUUUAUUGCUUGAAUAAUAUACCACAAUUCAAUGUCCAUUCUGUUGUUGAUGAACUUUCAGGUCCUUCUGAAUCUGAAACCCAUCAUCCAAUAUUUUAGCCAUCAAUACUCCCAGCUUUGUGUCAUCAGAAAUUUGGAUGAUCACAACAUUUCUGAUACAAAUCAUUGACUUUUAACUGUUUGACAGGACCAGACAGACUUGUAUCAGCCAACUAGAGGUCUCCCUUCAGGUUAACCUUAAUACUAAUAAAUAUUAUUUGGACAAAAUUUAGUUAGCUAAAACUGUAGCUAUCUGUAGUAUCAUUCAAUGUACCUUUCUGCAUUUCAGAGGCCGAGAUAGGAGAAUCACUUGAAGCCAGGAGUUUGAGACCAGCCUGGACAACCUAGUGAGACCUCAUCUCCACAAAAAAUUUUAAAAAUUAGCCAGGUGUUGUGGUACAUGCCUGUAGUCUUAGCUACUUGGGAGGCUGUGGCAGGAGAAUCACUUGAGCCCAGGAGUUUGAGGCUACAGUGAGCUAUGAUCACACCUCCACAUUCCAGCCUGGGCAACAGAGCAAGAUCGCAUCUUUAAAAAAAAACAAAAAACAGGCUGGGCACAGUGGCUCACGCCUGUAAUCCCAGCACUUUGGGAGGCCGAGGUGGGCGGAUCAUGAGGUCAGGAGAUCGAGACCACCCUGGCUAACACGGUGAAACCCUGUCUCUACUAAAAAUACAAAAAAUUAGCCGGGCAUGGUGGUGAGCGCCUGUAGUCCUAGCUACUCGGGAGGCUGAGGCAGGAGAAUGGCGUGAACCCGGGAGGCAGAGCUUGCAGUGAGCCAAGAUCACACCACUGCAUUCCAGCCUGGGCAACAGAGCGAGACUCUGUCUCAAAAAAAAAAAAAAAAAAAAAAGCAAAAGAACCAUAAAUAUUUGUGGAGGUCUACUGUGUUCUAGGUACUGAGUGGGGUUAGAGAAGUGGAAAAAACAGACCACACCGAGACUCUCACGAAAUUUACAUUCUAGUUGAUGAGAUAGAUGUAAAUAAAAAUUCAGAUCAUUUUAUGAGGAAAGUGAAAUGGAGCAACACUAAACAGAAUAAUGAGGAGAAAGGCACACAACUUCUGAAGGCACUAGCCAUGUGAAGACUGAGAGUAUACCAUUCCAGGCAAGGGGAACAGCAAGCACAAAGUCCUUGAGGAAGGGAUGGGCUUAAAAAAACAAGGAGGGCAGUGUACCUAGAGCAAAAUGUGAACAAAGGCAAGUAGAGGAAAGGUAGACAGAAACUAGAUUAUGUAAGGUCUUGAAAUUCUUUUAUUUACUAACUUACUUUUUUAGAGAUGGGGUCUCCCUGUGUCACCUGGGCUAGGGUACAGUGGCUAUUCACAGGAGCAAUCAUAGCACACUGCAGCCUGGAACUCUGAAGCUCAAACAAUCCUCACCCCUCAGCUUCCCAAUAGCUGAGACUACAGACUCACACAAUGUGCUUGGCAAGGCCUUUUAUUCUAAAUGCAGUGGUGAGAUGGACAAGAGAUGUACCAUCCAUAUCCUCCUUUAAGGAAGGACUUGAUGCCCAGAUGUAAAGAGUGUAGUCACCAAACAGCCCUUUCAGAAUCUGCCCCAGACACAGAGAGCCUCACUGCUUAAGGAUAUACCCUUCUUAGAGCAGACCGCUUCUAGAGACUAAGUGAGCAGGGUUAUAAAGCCCCAGCUAUUUUAACCUAACAAUUCUGACGGAUAAUACUCGUUUUUCAGAGCUCCUUGAUAGGUUGGCCAAGGCUAUUUUUGGUCUGCAUCACGGAUUUCUUCCUCAGUCCAACUCAGAUUUCUCUUUCUUCCUUGUCACAGAUGUUAAACCUUAAUAACAUGUUGAAUCCCAAACUCCACCUCUGCAUCUGUGACAAACUUAACCUGUGACAAAUGGGAAGCCAUAAAAGGAUUUUUUUUUUUUUUUUUUUUUUGAGACAGAGUUUCACUCUUGUUGCCCAGGCUGGAGUGCAAUGGCAUGAUCUCAAUCUUGGCUCACCGCAACCUCCGCCUCCCAGGUUCAAGUGAUUCUCCUGCCUCAGCCUCCCUAGUAGCCUGCCUAGUAAUAGGCAUGUGCCACCAUGCCCGGCUAAUUUUGUAUUUUUAGUAGAGACGGGGUUUCUCCAUGUUGGUCAGGCUGGUCUUGAACUCCUGACCUCAGGCGAUCCACUCGCCUUGGCCUCCCAAAGUGCUGGGAUUACAGGCGUGAGCCACCGCACCCGGCUGCCAUUGAAGGAUUUUUAAGCAAAGAAUUCAAAUGGCCUGAUUUACAUUUUAGAUCACUCUAGCUGCUGUAUAGAGGAUGGACUGUGGGAAGUAAAAGUGAAAACAAGACCAGUAGCAGUAGCCCAAGGGAGAUGGUGGUGAUUUGAUCUAGGGAGGAGAAAGCGGGAAGUGGAUGGAUUUGGGAUAUAAUUUGGUUGUAGAAGUGAUAACUGCGCGGUGGCUCACGCCUGUAAUCCCAGCCCUUUGGGAGGCCGAGGCAGGCGGAUCACGAGGUCAGGAGAUCGAGACCAUCCUGGCUAACAUGGUGAAACCCCGUCUCUACUAAAAAUACAAAAAAUUAGCCAGGCGUGAUGGCGGGCGCCUGUAGUCCCACCUACUCGGGAGGCUGAGGCAGGAGAAUGGUGUGAACCGGGAGGCAGAGCUUGCAGUGAGCCUAGAUAGCGCCACUGCACUCCAGCCUGGGUGACAGAGCGAGACUCCAUCUCAAAAAAAAAAAAAAAGUGAUAACUGGUUCAUCCCAACCAUUUUGAUCAGUUACCUUGCAGAAAACAAAUUUAGUGUGUUGAAGGAAACCAAAAUAUUUCUCUCUAAAAUACUGGGGAUUUUAGUUUAAAAGCUUAAAACACAUGGGCACACCGCCCUUCCUAACUCUGCCUUCAUCCGCUCAGAAACAGCUCAGCGGUGCUAGAGGAUCCAGGAGCAGACUUUACUCUUCCCAUUAAUUUACCUUCCCACAUUUUCCUGCCUUUUGGAAGCCUAAAGAUACUCUUCUUUGUUUCAGCACUUCGUAAGAUUCAUGGCUCUGGCCGAGUGCGGUGGCUCACGCCUGUAAUCCCAGCACUUUGGGAGGCCUAGGCCGGUGGAUUGCUUGAGGCCAGGAGCUCGAAACCAGCCUGUCCAACAUGGCAUUACCCUGUCUCUACUAAAAAUACAAAAAUCAGCCGGGCGUGGUGGCACACACCUGUAACCCCAGCUACUCGGGAGGCUGAGGCACAAUAAUCACUUGAACCCAGGAGGUGAGGUUGCAGUGAGCCGAGAUCAUGCCACUGCACUCCAGCCUGGGCGACAGAGCAAGACUCUGUCAAAAAAAAAAAAAAAAAAAAAAAAAAAAAUUCAUGGUUCUUUGUUAAAAUACUAUUUAAACAAGGUCCCUAAGCCACUGCCUGGAGAGAGAAAUACUUUUGAACUGAGGCCUCUCCCACUUGAUGGGUACAGCAUGUUAAUAAACUUGUUUUUCUUUUGUUAAUCUGACGCUUGUUUUCAAGUGUCUCAACUAAGAACCUAAAAAGGGUAAAAAAAGAAAUGAUGUUUUCUCUCCAACAGUGUGUUUUUAUUUCUUUCAUCUACCUGUCCAGUAAUCAUUUUAAAAAAGAAAAUAGCAUUAGUUACUGCCUGUGUGAUGUGGCCCCUGCUUAUCUGCACUCUCCCUCCUGUUUACUGUUCCAGCCACCUCAGCUUUUUCUCUGUUCCUCUAGCAUGGCAAGCUUAUUCCUGCCUCAUGACUCUUUCACAUGGUGUUUUCAGAUUUUCUCUGUAGCACUCUGCACGCAUUGUCCACCUAAAUUCUAUUCAUCCCUCAGGUAGCAGUUUAAAUACUGUGUCCUCACAGAGGAUUUCUCUAGCACUGCCUCCUCUCCCGUGAAGCUAGUUCCUGUAAUUAUGGGCUCACAUAAAUCCCUGGGUUUUCUUUUUUGGCACUUAUCACAAGCUGUAAUUAUACCAUACGUUUUAUUAUUUGUCUUCCUCACCAGAGUUCCACAAGGGGCAGGAAUGUGCCUGUUUUGUUUUCUGCUUCAUCCCUUGUGUCUUGCACAGUAACUAUAACUCAGAAUUUGCGCAACAAAUAUUUGCUGAAUGAAAGAACUUGCCCGUAGUGGCCCCUUGUUAGUGCCUAGAGUCAAUUUCUUUACAUGCUUGUAAAACAUCUUUUGAUAAUCCAUGCCAAAAUGUUCUAGAGAUCAUUGAAAAUUUUCCUACUAGUUUUCAGAAUGUAAUUUUUUUCCACCUGGGGAACUUUUUUUUUUUUUUUUUUUUUUUUUUUUUUUUUGAGAUGGAGCCUCCACCGUGUCUCUACUAAAAAUACAAAAAAUCUCUCACUGAGUCUCACUCUGUCACCCAGGCUGGAGUGCAGUGUCAAGAUCUUGGCUCACUGCAACCUCCGCCUCCCAGGUUGAAGCAAUUCUCCUGCCUCAGCCUCCCAAGUAGCUGGGUCUACAGGUGCCAGCCACCAGGCCCGGCUAAGUUUUUGUAUUAUUAGUAGAGACGGGGUUUCACCAUGUUGGCCAGGCUGGUCUCGAACUCCUGACCUCGUGAUCCACCCGCCUUGGCCUCCCAAAGUGCUGGGAUUACAGGU